Molecule: ribosomal RNA, 254 nt
Filed under: uncultured bacterium
Lineage: Bacteria
Description: partial 16S ribosomal RNA
Rfam family: Bacterial small subunit ribosomal RNA
Source: RNAcentral
GACAGAGGGUGCAAACGUUGUUCGGAAUUACUGGGCGUAAAGCGCGUGUAGGCGGCCCUGCAAGUCGGGUGUGAAAUCCCGCGGCUCAACCGUGGAAGUGCACUCGAAACUGCAGGGCUAGAGUCCUGGAGAGGAAGGUGGAAUGCUUGGUGUAGAGGUGAAAUUCGUAGAUAUCAAGCGGAACACCGGUGGCGAAGGCGGCCUUCUGGACAGUGACUGACGCUGAGACGCGAAAGCGUGGGGAGCAAACAGGG